UAAUAUUAUAAGGAGAGGUCAUGUGAUGAUCUGAGAGUGGAAUGUUAUUCCUUAUCCUCAUAACCUGAUUUGGAUAAUGCCAACGUAGGGAGACGCAGCAUACAUAUG
RNAcentral lists this non-coding RNA (108 nucleotides) under Clostridium tyrobutyricum. Its description in RNAcentral is "TPP sequence". It matches the Rfam family "TPP riboswitch aptamer (THI element)". Rfam says of the family: Vitamin B(1) in its active form thiamin pyrophosphate (TPP) is an essential coenzyme that is synthesised by coupling of pyrimidine and thiazole moieties in bacteria. The previously detected thiamin-regulatory element, thi box was extended, resulting in a new, highly conserved RNA secondary structure, the THI element, which is widely distributed in eubacteria and also occurs in some archaea. Lineage: Bacteria; Bacillati; Bacillota; Clostridia; Eubacteriales; Clostridiaceae. RNAcentral also lists the same sequence under 1 other name. The record is from RNAcentral.